Molecule: long non-coding RNA, 807 nt
Organism: Brassica rapa (field mustard)
Lineage: Eukaryota; Viridiplantae; Streptophyta; Magnoliopsida; Brassicales; Brassicaceae
Source: RefSeq, a predicted model, not a curated record
GCAAUAAUCCUAUCGAACAACUCUCCACCAGCACAAAGCUCCAUGACCAAAUGCACAGAAUGUUUGUCUUCAUAAGCUCCUUUAAGCUCAACAAUGUUUGGCUGACCGGUCAUGUGAUGCAUUAUCUGCACUUCCCUUCUUACAUCCUCAAUGUCUUCUUUGUUCACAAGCUUCCUUUUGGCAAUGGUCUUGCAAGCGAACUGCUGACCUGUUGCCUUCUGCGUGCAGAGGUCGACCUAAGACAGGUCCUAUAGGGCCUUGCUUUGUUGCGGGGGGAGGAGAAGGAGGGGCGUGUUUGGAUUGUGGUACGGAAGGUUCAGCAGUUGAAGCGGUUAUGCCCUUGUCUUGUGUGUAUCCAUCUGCGUUAUCGGCUGAGUCCCGUCCUUGAGAACAACAGUUUCCCAUUGUUGCGGUGGGGGAGAGGAAGGAGGUAACAAGCUCAAGGAGGAAGAGAGAUCGAAAGGGUUUUUUUUUUGUGUGUUUUAUUCUCUUAGUAUCAUUUUUUUUCUUCCUCUGGUUUUUGUUUCUUCUAGAGCAAGAAAUCGUUAGGUGUUUUUGGUUGUCAAAUGGCUAUGAAUAGAAUGUUUUUGUUCUCUUCGUUGGCUUUAGGUUCAAAGGGUUAUAGGAUUUGUUGAUAGAGAGGAAGUUUAGGACUAAAGCUUGUCUGUAAUGUUGUUAUUUAAAGUUAAAGAUUUAGGACAAGGUUGAGAGCUAAUCCUGGUGAUUUAUACUUGUUACAAAACUGUAUGUUCUUAUCUUCCAAAUGUCAAUUCACUUUACCCCAUAUAUAUAAUAUUUUCUUUUUAA